UGGGGAAUUUUGGACAAUGGGCGAAAGCCUGAUCCAGCAAUGCCGCGUGUGUGAAGAAGGCCUUCGGGUUGUAAAGCACUUUUGUCCGGAAAGAAAUCCUUGGCUCUAAUACAGUCGGGGGAUGACGGUACCGGAAGAAUAAGCACCGGCUAACUACGUGCCAGCAGCCGCGGUAAUACGUAGGGUGCAAGCGUUAAUCGGAAUUACUGGGCGUAAAGCGUGCGCAGGCGGUUUGCUAAGACCGAUGUGAAAUCCCCGGGCUCAACCUGGGAACUGCAUUGGUGACUGGCAGGCUAGAGUAUGGCAGAGGGGGGUAGAAUUCCACGUGUAGCAGUGAAAUGCGUAGAGAUGUGGAGGAAUACCGAUGGCGAAGGCAGCCCCCUGGGCCAAAUACUGACGCUCAUGCACGAAAAGCGUGGGGAGCAAAACAGGAUUAGAUACCCUGGUAGUCCACGCCCUAAAACGAUGUCAACUAGUUGUUGGGGAUUCAUUUCCUAGUAACGUAGCUAACGCGUGAAGUUGACCGCCUGGGGAGUACGGUCGCAAGAUUAAAAACUCAAAUGAAUUGACGGGGUCAUAGCUGUUUCCU
Molecule: ribosomal RNA, 589 nt
Filed under: uncultured bacterium
Lineage: Bacteria
Description: partial 16S ribosomal RNA
Rfam family: Bacterial small subunit ribosomal RNA
Source: RNAcentral